RNAcentral lists this ribosomal RNA (1965 nucleotides) under Triticum aestivum (bread wheat). RNAcentral describes it as "partial small subunit ribosomal RNA". Lineage: Eukaryota; Viridiplantae; Streptophyta; Magnoliopsida; Poales; Poaceae. The record is from RNAcentral.
AUGCCACUAUUAUCUCUCUUAGUUCUCUUCCUCUCCUCGGCUUCGUCAGAAGGUCAGGCUCUCUGCAGCGACAAUAAUGGCGGCAUGUACAUGCCAAACAGCACCUACAAAUCCAACCUUGUAUCCCUCGCUGAACUACUGUUUGCCAAAGCCACAGAGGAUCACUCAGCUACUGGCACGGCUGGCAUAGGACCAGACAAGGUCUAUGGUGCAGUGCUUUGUCGGGGUGAUUCUGACGGCUCCGACUGUCGGAAGCACCUAACCAGGGCCCUUGAUGAAGCAAUCAACAGCAAAGCUGGCAACUCUUACUCCCUCCAGAGUAACAACGUGACCUACUACUACGACCAAUACCAGGCACAGAUAAGCUUCUCCGACCAGGACUUCCUUUCCAACUUCAGUGACAUGCCCGGGUGCACCGUGAAUACUAACCUGAAUUCUGUGACGGCCACUGUAGUAACCGAGCGUUAUGAAGACCUUGUCACCAAGCUGCUGCAUGCGCUUGCUGAUGUUGUGGUGAGCCGAGCAGAAAAAUAUGCAGUCGGCAAAGUGUGGUUUGAGGAGACAGGACAGACGGUGUAUGGGCUGGCGCAGUGCAUACGGGAUAUGCCAUAUGAGCGUUGCGUGGCAUGCCUGGAUCGCAUAAUCUCUGGCAGGCAGAAUAAGAUCAUUUCUGGCCAGAUGGGGGCAGCAUUUCUUGGGGUGUGGUGCACAUUGCGUUAUGAGACGGACACACAGUUCUUUACUGAUACCAAGAUGCGGUCGCUCGAUGCGCUCCCAAGAAGUAAAACACACUUUUUUCGAUGGAACAAUGCAGUCUUGGUUGGCGUUGGAGGUUUCAUACUAGUAAUAUCAAUUUCUUGCUUGGUUUUUCAUAUCUGGGUCAAAACACAACGACGAAGAGAACAAACAAUAUUUAAACUAGGACAGCUGUAUUUGUCAAUACAAAUUGCAAUAAAUCUUUGGAGGAUGGGAGGAGCCAACCCAGAAUUUUCACUUUAUGAUUUCUCCAAGAUAAAAGAAGCUACAAAUAACUUCUCAAUUGGUAACAAACUGGGACAAGGUGGCUUUGGUCCUGUAUAUAAGGGCCGAUUAAGAAAUGGACACAAAAUAGCAGUCAAGAGACUGGAAACAUCUUCUUUGCAAGGUUUACUGGAAUUCCAAAACGAAAUUCAACUUAUAGCAAAGGUUCAACACAAAAAUCUCGUUAAACUGCUGGGAUGUUGCACUCAAGGAGAUCGAGAAAAGAUGCUUGUAUAUGAAUACAUGGAAAACAAAAGCCUAGACUACUUCAUCUUUGAUACCAUUAAAGGAAGGCGAUUAAACUGGUCAAAACGUUUGCGCAUAAUUGAUGGGACAGCUCAAGGUCUUCUUUAUCUUCACAACUACUCACGAAUAUGCAUUGUUCAUAGGGAUUUGAAAGCAAGUAACAUUCUCUUGGAUAGUGUCAUGAAUCCAAAAAUAUCUGAUUUCGGAGUGGCCAGAAUAUUCUGCUCAAAUAUGGCAGAGUCAAAUACCACCAGAAUAGUGGGAACACAUGGCUAUAUACCUCCGGAGUAUGCUUUUGAGGGGGUUUGCUCGAUCAAGACAGAUGUAUUUAGCUUUGGCGUAUUGAUUCUGGAAAUAAUAAGUGGAAAGAGGACAGCCCAGUUCUAUCGAUACAAUGGGAAACUAUACAAUCUCAUUGCAUAUGCCUGGCAACUUUGGAUAGAUGGAAAAUGGAGUGAGAUGGCUUAUUGUCCAGCAGAGAACGAAAAUCAAGAGAUAGAGAGGUGCGUUCAUGUGGCACUUUUAUGUGUUCAAGAAAGUGCAGAGGAUCGACCAACUAUGGAGCAUGUUGUCACAAUGCUAAACACCAAGAGCAUGAGCUUACCUCCACCUAAGCAACCAGCUUACUUCCAUGUAAAUCCGAGUGAGCAAGAAGUUUCAUCAUGCAACAUUACUAUAAGCAUCACAUUAGAGAGAUAA